Molecule: ribosomal RNA, 585 nt
Filed under: Fusarium oxysporum
Lineage: Eukaryota; Fungi; Ascomycota; Sordariomycetes; Hypocreales; Nectriaceae
Description: eukaryotic LSU rRNA
Rfam family: Eukaryotic large subunit ribosomal RNA
Source: RNAcentral
AUAUCAAUAAGCGGAGGAAAAGAAACCAACAGGGAUUGCCCUAGUAACGGCGAGUGAAGCGGCAACAGCUCAAAUUUGAAAUCUGGCUCUCGGGCCCGAGUUGUAAUUUGUAGAGGAUACUUUUGAUGCGGUGCCUUCCGAGUUCCCUGGAACGGGACGCCAUAGAGGGUGAGAGCCCCGUCUGGUUGGAUGCCAAAUCUCUGUAAAGUUCCUUCAACGAGUCGAGUAGUUUGGGAAUGCUGCUCUAAAUGGGAGGUAUAUGUCUUCUAAAGCUAAAUACCGGCCAGAGACCGAUAGCGCACAAGUAGAGUGAUCGAAAGAUGAAAAGCACUUUGAAAAGAGAGUUAAAAAGUACGUGAAAUUGUUGAAAGGGAAGCGUUUAUGACCAGACUUGGGCUUGGUUAAUCAUCUGGGGUUCUCCCCAGUGCACUUUUCCAGUCCAGGCCAGCAUCAGUUUUCCCCGGGGGAUAAAGGCGGCGGGAAUGUGGCUCUCUUCGGGGAGUGUUAUAGCCCACCGUGUAAUACCCUGGGGGGGACUGAGGUUCGCGCAUCUGCAAGGAUGCUGGCGUAAUGGUCAUCAACGAC